AAAGCCCUGCAAGAGGACCCGCGCUGCUAACCGCCCCUCGAAAGCUUUGAAUCCGGUUGCCAUAAACCCCUUCCCUGAAAUUGGCAGUGAAUCAAUUCCAUUAGCAUUUUCCGCCUCGAUUGGCGAAGUCGUCUUUGGUCCUUCAUCCUGCCAGGUCAAAUAACCCGAUACGAGUAUAGUUUCCUUAUAAAGACAGAUCAUCUUUCAAGGCCUGAUCAUGCAUGGACAGCGAGAGGUUUCAUCCACAAAUAAGAUUGGACUUUUCUUUCAAUAAAAUAAGACAUUCUACUCCUGAUCGUAGACCACAGUUCGCUAAUGCUCACCUGAUAUACUCUAACCUUUUGGGCUUAUAUCGAUGAAGAUCAAAGAGUCGAAGCGAGCUUAAAAGAUGCCGGGAACAACGGAGUGUCGGGCGCUACGCUCAGUUGAUCAAAAGGGUAAACCUGAUAGUCAAGUGAUUUUGGAGCUCAUUCUAUUUCCAAGAAAGAGUCAACUCAGAUAACGAAUACGAAGAUCACUGGUUUGACGAGGAUGAGAUGCUGCGGCCGUUCCCUUGUUCUAGAUCCUACCUACAAAGAAUCAUUUAGAAAGAAAGCCCAAACUCGAGACACGGAUAGAGAAUUGUCCGAAAGAGGGAAUAUUUGUGGGAGCAGAUCCUUUGAACCUUCCCGAUUCCUCACCGCUCCGUGGGCCUUUUUCUGAUCUCGGAGACUUAACUGGCGCUGACACAGAUUCAUCUUCUGCCCUUGAUUCUUCUCUAGGUAAGGGGGGAAGGACGAAAACAAGUAAGCUUCUGUGAGUUCCGCUUCUCUUACCUAUUGCUCUGCUCUGGUUAGCACAGAAAAGCUAGCACCCCACCACCCGGCUAAGGAUUAUGUUUAUUAUAUGACAAAUCUUCCAAUAAGUAUUUCACACCUCUGUCAACUAAUACGGAUGAAACUAGAUAGGAUGAAACAAUUAGAGAAAUCAGGGUGCGUGCCCAUAGUGCCUAAGGAGUGAGUUCAAAAG
RNAcentral lists this long non-coding RNA (1008 nucleotides) under Musa acuminata (dwarf banana). RNAcentral's name for it is "long non-coding RNA (MACU_LNC007806)". The record is from RNAcentral. Lineage: Eukaryota; Viridiplantae; Streptophyta; Magnoliopsida; Zingiberales; Musaceae.